AUUCCGUGAUGAGGGAACUUUCGUAAUAAUUCUUUGUACCUUUCUCAUGCCCAUACAAGGACUCAUCAUCCAUUUGUUGGAAAGUAGUGAUCUCGUUUCUCAACUU
RNAcentral lists this small nucleolar RNA (106 nucleotides) under Gossypium hirsutum (cotton). RNAcentral describes it as "Plant small nucleolar RNA R71". It matches the Rfam family "Plant small nucleolar RNA R71". Rfam says of the family: R71 is a member of the C/D box family of snoRNAs containing the C (UGAUGA) and D (CUGA) box motifs. Multiple nearly identical copies of this snoRNA have been identified in Arabidopsis, and it is thought to function as a 2'-O-ribose methylation guide for 18S ribosomal RNA. Lineage: Eukaryota; Viridiplantae; Streptophyta; Magnoliopsida; Malvales; Malvaceae. The record is from Rfam by way of RNAcentral. RNAcentral also lists the same sequence under 1 other name.